GGAUAUAGCUCAGUUGGUAGAGUGCUUGCCUUGCAUGCACAAGGCCCUGGGUUCAAUCCUCAGCACCA
This 68-nucleotide transfer RNA is filed under the name Marmota monax (woodchuck). Its description in RNAcentral is "tRNA.Ala". The stretch from base 6 to 63 matches the Rfam family "tRNA", at positions 8 to 63 of the family's 71-position model. Rfam says of the family: Transfer RNA (tRNA) molecules are approximately 80 nucleotides in length. Their secondary structure includes four short double-helical elements and three loops (D, anti-codon, and T loops). Lineage: Eukaryota; Metazoa; Chordata; Mammalia; Rodentia; Sciuridae. The record is from RNAcentral.